Molecule: long non-coding RNA, 294 nt
Organism: Pecten maximus
Lineage: Eukaryota; Metazoa; Mollusca; Bivalvia; Pectinida; Pectinidae
Exons: 3
Source: RefSeq, a predicted model, not a curated record
UUGGCGGGAAUGCUAUUGUUAGGGUAGUUAGACUCCUGUCGGUCAAGCUGACCACAAGUAUAUUUUCCUGGUUCAAGAUUUUAGACAGGUUAAAAAUAUAUUGAAAGAGAAAGAUAUUGACAGAGAACUUGGAAGUAUUGUGUAGGAUGGCUCUGUGCCACACACAGAGUGACUACCGGUACAUUACAUUCCAUUCCUUUCCGUAUUGGUUCUCGUUCGUGUUCACGUUUUGUACAACAUGUGCUGUGUGUAAUACUGGUCGAAACUCUUCAGAAUAAAGAACUCAUCAUCUUA